UACGAAGGGUGCGAGCGUUGUUCGGAAUUAUUGGGCGUAAAGGGUUUGUAGGCUGAAAUGUAAGUCAAGUGUGAAAUCCCCGAGCUAAACUUGGGACGUGCACUUGAAACUGUGUUUCUUGAGUAUCGUAGAGGGUGGUGGAAUUGCAGGUGUAGGAGUGACAUCCGUAGAGAUUUGCAGGAACAUCAGAGGCGAAGGCGACCACCUGGCCGAUUACUGACGCUGAGGAACGAAAGCGUGGGGAGCAAACAGG
RNAcentral lists this ribosomal RNA (253 nucleotides) under uncultured bacterium. Its description in RNAcentral is "partial 16S ribosomal RNA". It matches the Rfam family "Bacterial small subunit ribosomal RNA", at positions 524 to 776 of the family's 1533-position model. The record is from RNAcentral.